UUAAGCAUAUCAAUAAGCGGAGGAAAAGAAACUAACAAGGAUUCCCCUAGUAACUGCGAGUGAAGCGGGAAAAGCUCAAAUUUGAAAUCUGGCAGUUCUCUUGACUGUCCGAGUUGUAAUCUAGAGAAGUGUUACCUGUGCUGGACCGUGUACAAGUCUUCUGGAAUGGAGCAUCAUAGAGGGUGAGAAUCCCGUCUUUGACAUGGACUACCAGUGCGCUGUGGUGCGCUCUCAAAGAGUCGAGUUGUUUGGGAAUGCAGCUCAAAAUGGGUGGUAAAUGCCAUCUAAAGCUAAAUAUUGGCGAGAGACCGAUAGCGAACAAGUACCGUGAGGGAAAGAUGAAAAGAACUUUGGAAAGAGAGUUAAACAGUACGUGAAAUUGCUGAAAGGGAAACGCUUGAAGUCAGUCACGUUGACUAGAAAUCAGCCUUGCUUUUGCUUGGUGUACUUUCUGGUUUGACGGGUCAGCAUCGAUUUCUUUGACCAUUGGAUAAAGUCUUUGGGAAUGUGGCAUCUUUGGAUGUGUUAUAGCCCAUUGUCGCAUACAAUGGUUGGGAUCGAGGAACUCAGCACGCCGCAAGGCCGGGUUUAGACCACGUUCGUGCUUAGGAUGCUGGCAUAAUGGCUUUAAUCGACCCGUCUU
Molecule: ribosomal RNA, 643 nt
Filed under: uncultured fungus
Lineage: Eukaryota; Fungi
Description: eukaryotic LSU rRNA
Rfam family: Eukaryotic large subunit ribosomal RNA
Source: RNAcentral